GCCGAGGUAGCUCAGCCUGGGAGAGCAUCCGACUCGUUACCGGACUGUCGCAGGUUCAAGUCCUGCCCUCGGCA
This 74-nucleotide transfer RNA is filed under the name Nitrososphaerales archaeon. RNAcentral describes it as "tRNA-Thr". It matches the Rfam family "tRNA". Rfam says of the family: Transfer RNA (tRNA) molecules are approximately 80 nucleotides in length. Their secondary structure includes four short double-helical elements and three loops (D, anti-codon, and T loops). Further hydrogen bonds mediate the characteristic L-shaped molecular structure. tRNAs have two regions of fundamental functional importance: the anti-codon, which is responsible for specific mRNA codon recognition, and the 3' end, to which the tRNAs corresponding amino acid is attached (by aminoacyl-tRNA synthetases). tRNAs cope with the degeneracy of the genetic code in two manners: having more than one tRNA (with a specific anti-codon) for a particular amino acid; and 'wobble' base-pairing, i.e. permitting non-standard base-pairing at the 3rd anti-codon position. The record is from RNAcentral. Lineage: Archaea; Thermoproteati; Nitrososphaerota; Nitrososphaeria; Nitrososphaerales.